RNAcentral lists this ribosomal RNA (229 nucleotides) under uncultured bacterium. RNAcentral's name for it is "partial 16S ribosomal RNA". It matches the Rfam family "Bacterial small subunit ribosomal RNA", at positions 568 to 796 of the family's 1533-position model. The record is from RNAcentral.
AGUGUAGGCGGUUUGACAAGUCGGGUGUGAAAUCCCAGGGCCCAACCCUGGAACUGCAUCCGAUACUGUUAGGCUAGAGUCCCGGAGAGGGUGGCGAAAUUCCCGGUGUAGGGGUGAAAUCCGUAGAUAUCGGGAGGAACACCAGUGGCGAAGGCGGCCACCUGGACGGUGACUGACGCUGAGACUCGAAAGUGUGGGUAGCAAACAGGAUUAGAUACCCUGGUAGUCC